UAAAUUGAAAAUUAAAAUAAAUAAUUAAUUAAAAAAUGAUAAAAAGAAAAUAUCAUCUUAUUUUGUCAUCUUCAACCCCAAAAUUAUAUGGAAACCCUAGGAGAGAGAAAAAAAUUUCAUGGCCUAAUUGGGUAAGUUCCUUGUCCCAUUUUUAGUAAUUUUGAUAUUUUUGAAACCGAGAUAGCUUAAACUAUCUAUUUAGGGAAUUAAUUUAAAAAGUUAUCAAAGUACAGAAAAUGGGUCAUGGAUGCAUAUGCUGAAAACUAAAAAUUUAUAGUAGAAAAUGAAAGGUUAUUGAUAGAUAAACAACUUUUACAAAGUGGUUUUUGAUGAAAUUAUGAUUUAGGAACUAAAGUGUAAACUUAUGAAAUUUGAUGAAAAAUUUUAAAUUUUUAUUAAUACAUGUGCUGUAAAUUUGUAAUGAGAUUUUGGUUAGAUUUGAAAUAAGGAGUAAAUUGUACAAGUUUCAUUUUUUGAGCCUAGGGAUGAAAUUAGAAUUUAUGAAAAAGUUAGGGGCAAAAUGGUAAUUUUUCUUAGGACGUAAAUUGAGUCCAAAUAAAUAUAAAAUAUGUGAAAUUGAUGAUUAAAGCUAUUUAUAUAGAUCCGGACAACACAAAUUCGAGGUUAGACCGAGGAAAAAAAAGGUUUCGGAUUAGUAGAUUUUAUACGCGAACAAGUGUCGAAGUAAGUUCGUAUAACUUAAUCAGGCAUGUAAAUAUGUUUAAUUGAAUUUUGUGUUGUAUGGAAUGUGACUUAUAUUAAUAUACAUUACUUGAAUGCUAUAAUGAGAAAUUUAAUACAUGCUUGAUAUGGUGAAAAAAGGUUAAGUCCCAAUUGAAUAUUGAAUUCCGAUGAAUAUAUGCGCUUUCUUGAAACGAAUAAGAUCCUGCAUUUGUUGCGUAUGAGAUUUAGUUCAGACGAGUAAUCCUAUUUACCUUGUUAUAGAAAGGAUUUAACCCGGACGGGUAAUUCGGAUAUAA
RNAcentral lists this long non-coding RNA (980 nucleotides) under Gossypium barbadense (sea-island cotton). RNAcentral describes it as "long non-coding RNA (GBAR_LNC010588)". The record is from RNAcentral. Lineage: Eukaryota; Viridiplantae; Streptophyta; Magnoliopsida; Malvales; Malvaceae.